This 982-nucleotide ribosomal RNA is filed under the name human gut metagenome. RNAcentral's name for it is "bacterial LSU rRNA". It matches the Rfam family "Bacterial large subunit ribosomal RNA", at positions 1945 to 2925 of the family's 2925-position model. The record is from RNAcentral.
ACGGUCCUAAGGUAGCGAAAUUCCUUGUCAGGUAAGUUCUGACCCGCACGAAAGGCGUAACGAUUUGGGCGCUGUCUCAGCUGUAGACUCGGUGAAGUCUUAGUACCUGUGAAGAUGCAGGUUACCCGCGACUAGACGGAAAGACCCCAUGGAGCUUCACUGCAGGUUGAUAUUGGGAUUUGAUGCAGCAUGUACAGGAUAGGUAGGAGGCAAAGAGAUGGAUACGCCAGUAUUCAAGGAGCCGCUGUUGGGAUACUACCCCUGUUGUAUUGGAUUUCUAACCGGACGACGUAGAGCCGUUGACGGGACAGUGUCAGUCGGGCAGUUUGACUGGGGCGGUCGCCUCCCAAAGAGUAACGGAGGCGCCCAAAGAUACCCUCAGCUUGGAUGGAAACCAAGCGCAGAGUGCAAAGGCAAAAGGGUGUUUGACUGCGAGACCCACAAGUCGAGCAGGGACGAAAGUCGGGCUUAGUGAUCCGGCGGUGCUGAAUGGAAAGGCCGUCGCUCAACGGAUAAAAGCUACCCUGGGGAUAACAGGCUGAUCUCCCCCAAGAGUUCACAUCGACGGGGAGGUUUGGCACCUCGAUGUCGGCUCAUCGCAUCCUGGGGCUGAAGUAGGUCCCAAGGGUUGGGCUGUUCGCCCAUUAAAGCGGUACGCGAGCUGGGUUCAGAACGUCGUGAGACAGUUCGGUCCCUAUCUGUCGUGGGCGCAGGAAAUUUGAGAAGAGCUGUCCUCAGUACGAGAGGACCGGGAUGGACGCAUCAAUGGUGGACCAGUUGUCACGCCAGUGGCAUAGCUGGGUAGCUAAAUGCGGAAGGGAUAAACGCUGAAGGCAUCUAAGUGUGAAACCCACUUCAAGAUGAGAUUUCCCAUUGCGCAAGCAAGUAAGACCCCUUAAAGACGAUAAGGUAGAUAGGCCAGGGAUGGAAGUGCAGUGAUGUACGGAGUUGACUGGUACUAAUCGGUCGAGGACUUAAUCAG